Molecule: ribosomal RNA, 484 nt
Filed under: uncultured bacterium
Lineage: Bacteria
Description: partial 16S ribosomal RNA
Rfam family: Bacterial small subunit ribosomal RNA
Source: RNAcentral
AUUGAACGCUGGCGGCAUGCUUUACACAUGCAAGUCGAACGGCAGCGCGGUAUUCGCUCUGGCUGCGAGUGGCGAACGGGUGAGUAAUGCAUCGGAACGUGCCCAGCAGUGGGGGAUAGCCCGGCGACAGCCGGAUUAAUACCGCAUUCGACCUGAGGGUGAAAGCGGGGGACCGAAAGGCCUCGCGCUAUUGGACCGGCCGAUGUCGGAUUAGCUAGUUGGUGGGGUAAAGGCUUACCAAGGCGACGAUCCGUAGCUGGUCUGAGAGGACGACCAGCCACACUGGGACUGAGACACGGCCCAGACUCCUACGGGAGGCAGCAGUGGGGAAUUUUGGACAAUGGGGGCAACCCUGAUCCAGCCAUGCCGCGUGCGGGAAGAAGGCCUUCGGGUUGUAAACCGCUUUUGUUCGGGAAGAAAUCCUCUGGGCUAAUACCCCGGGGGGAUGACGGUACCGGAAGAAUAAGCACCGGCUAACUACGUG